Molecule: long non-coding RNA, 188 nt
Filed under: Chloebia gouldiae (Gouldian finch)
Lineage: Eukaryota; Metazoa; Chordata; Aves; Passeriformes; Passeridae
Description: Erythrura gouldiae (Gouldian finch) lncRNA (ENSEGOG00005014083.1)
Source: RNAcentral
AGAGAGUGGGACCAUGGACAAGGCAACCAAAACCACCUGAGUUUGGAGAGUCCUAAUCAGGCAGUGAAGGAACUUCUCCCUCUCUGCUGGAUAUGGAGAAGGCACAAUCAGUGAGUGGGUCUCUUGACAUGGCAAGAAAUUCAAGUCAGGUGGAGGAGGCAACAUUUUUGUCUUCUGUGCAGCUUUAU